CCGAGUGAGGGCCUCCGGGCCCGACCUCCAACCCCAUGUUAUCCGACCCUGUUGCCUCGGGGGCGACCCGGCCUUCAGGCGCCGGGGCCCCCGUGGACCCUCAACACUGCAUCGUGACGUCUGAGUCUAAGAUUUUGAAUCAAUCA
This 146-nucleotide unclassified non-coding RNA is filed under the name uncultured Ascomycota. Its description in RNAcentral is "sequence contains ITS1". The record is from RNAcentral. Lineage: Eukaryota; Fungi; Ascomycota.